RNAcentral lists this ribosomal RNA (820 nucleotides) under uncultured eukaryote. RNAcentral's name for it is "SSU rRNA". It matches the Rfam family "Eukaryotic small subunit ribosomal RNA", at positions 629 to 1426 of the family's 1831-position model. The record is from RNAcentral.
CGGUGUUUAACUGGCGUGAUGUGGGACGUCCUACCGGUGGGCUUAGCCUCGCGAGGGGCGGCCCAACUAAUAUCCCGUCGCGGUGCUCUUUACUGAGUGUCGAGUCGGGCCGGUACGUUUACUUUGAACAAAUUAGAGUGCUUAAAGCAGGCUAUCCUCGCCUGAAUACUGCGUGCAUGGAAUAAUGGAAUAGGACCCCGGUUCUAUUUUGUUGGUUUUCGGAACCCCGAGGUAAUGAUUAAUAGGGACAGAUGGGGGCAUUCGUAUUGCGACGUUAGAGGUGAAAUUCUUGGAUCGUCGCAAGACGGACAGAAGCGAAAGCAUUUGCCAAAAAUGUUUUCAUUAAUCAAGAACGAAAGUUAGAGGUUCGAAGGCGAUCAGAUACCGCCCUAGUUCUAACCAUAAACGAUGCCAGCUAGCGAUCCGCCGAAGUUCCUCCGAUGACUCGGCGGGCAGCUUCCGGGAAACCAAAGCUUUUGGGUUCCGGGGGAAGUAUGGUUGCAAAGCUGAAACUUAAAGGAAUUGACGGAAGGGCACCACCAGGAGUGGAGCCUGCGGCUUAAUUUGACUCAACACGGGAAACCUCACCAGGCCCAGACACCGGAAGGAUUGACAGAUUGAUAGCUCUUUCUUGAUUCGGUGGGUGGUGGUGCAUGGGCCGUUCUUAGUUGGUGGAGCGAUUUGUCUGGUUAAUUCCGAUAACGAACGAGACUCUAGCCUGCUAAAUAGGCGUACCUUAUGGUAUCGCGAAGGCCCCCGGCUUCGGCCGGUGGGUUUUUACUGCCAACGUACAAACAAAUCUUCUUAGAGGGACAGGCGG